CCUACGGGAGGCAGCAGUGAGGAAUAUUGGUCAAUGGGCGAACGCCUGAACCAGCCAAGUCGCGUGAGGGAUGACGGCCCUAUGGGUUGUAAACCUCUUUUGUCAGGGAGCAAUUGAGACUACGUGUAGCCGAAGCGAGAGUACCUGAAGAAAAAGCAUCGGCUAACUCCGUGCCAGCAGCCGCGGUAAUACGGAGGAUGCGAGCGUUAUCCGGAUUUAUUGGGUUAAAAGGGUGCGUUGGCGGAAUAUCAAGUCAGCGGUAAAAGCCCGGGGCUAAACCGCGUACGGCCGUUGAAACUGAUGGUCUUGAGUGGGCGAGAAGUAUGCGGAAUGCGUGGUGUAGCGGUGAAAUGCAUAGAUAUCACGCAGAACUCCGAUUGCGAAGGCAGCAUACCGGCGCCCAACUGACGCUGAAGCACGAAAGCGUGGGUAUCGAACAGGAUUAGAUACCCGUGUAGUC
RNAcentral lists this ribosomal RNA (460 nucleotides) under uncultured bacterium. RNAcentral's name for it is "partial 16S ribosomal RNA". It matches the Rfam family "Bacterial small subunit ribosomal RNA", at positions 338 to 795 of the family's 1533-position model. The record is from RNAcentral.